AGCGAACGCUGGCGGCAGGCUUAACACAUGCAAGUCGAGCGGGCAUCCUUGUGGUGUCAGCGGCAGACGGGUGAGUAACGCGUGGGAACGUGCCCUUCGGUUCGGAAUAACUCAGGGAAACUUGAGCUAAUACCGGAUACGUGCGAGAGCAGUAAGGUUUAUCUGCCGAAGGAUCGGCCCGCGUCUGAUUAGCUAGUUGGUGAGGUUACGGCUCACCAAGGCGACGAUCAGUAGCUGGUCUGAGAGGAUGAUCAGCCACACUGGGACUGAGACACGGCCCAGACUCCUACGGGAGGCAGCAGUGGGGAAUAUUGGACAAUGGGGGCAACCCUGAUCCAGCCAUGCCGCGUGAGUGAUGACGGCCUUAGGGUUGUAAAGCUCUUUUCUCCGGGACGAUAAUGACGGUACCGGAGGAAUAAGCCCCGGCUAACUUCGUG
This 437-nucleotide ribosomal RNA is filed under the name uncultured bacterium. RNAcentral describes it as "partial 16S ribosomal RNA". It matches the Rfam family "Bacterial small subunit ribosomal RNA", at positions 29 to 507 of the family's 1533-position model. The record is from RNAcentral.